CCUACGGGGGGCAGCAGUGAGGAAUAUUGGUCAAUGGGCGUAAGCCUGAACCAGCCAAGUCGCGUGAGGGAUGAAGGUUCUAUGGAUCGUAAACCUCUUUUAUAAGGGAAUAAAGUGUGGGACGUGUCCUAUUUUGUAUGUACCUUAUGAAUAAGGAUCGGCUAACUCCGUUCCAGCAGCCGCGGUAAUACGGAGGAUCCGAGCGUUAUCCGGAUUUAUUGGGGUGAAAGGGUGCGUAGGCGGCCUUUUAAGUCAGCGGUGAAAGUCUGUGGCUCAACCAUAGUAUUGCCGUUGAAACUGGGAGGCUUGAGUAUGUUUGAGGCAGGCGGAAUGCGUGGGGUAGCGGUGAAAUGCUUAGAUAUCACGCAGAACCCCGAUUGCGAAGGCAGCCUGCCAAGCCAUGACUGACGCUGAUGCACGAAAGCGUGGGGAUCAAACAGGAUUAGAUACCCGAGUAGUC
This 460-nucleotide ribosomal RNA is filed under the name uncultured bacterium. RNAcentral describes it as "partial 16S ribosomal RNA". It matches the Rfam family "Bacterial small subunit ribosomal RNA", at positions 338 to 795 of the family's 1533-position model. The record is from RNAcentral.